This 465-nucleotide ribosomal RNA is filed under the name uncultured bacterium. Its description in RNAcentral is "partial 16S ribosomal RNA". It matches the Rfam family "Bacterial small subunit ribosomal RNA", at positions 338 to 795 of the family's 1533-position model. The record is from RNAcentral.
CCUACGGGAGGCAGCAGUGGGGAAUAUUGCGCAAUGGGCGAAAGCCUGCCGCAGCGACGCCGCGUGAGGGAUGAAGGUCUUCGGAUCGUAAAACUCUGUCAGCAGGGAAGAACGGUCACUGUGCUAAUCAGUAGGGAAUUGACGGUAACUGCAAAGGAAGCACCGGCUAACGCCGUGACAGCAGCCGCGGUAAUACGGAGGGUGUGAGGGUUAAUCGGAAUUAUUGGGCGUAAAGCGCUCGUAGGCGGUAUGUCAAGUCAAGGGUGAAAUCCCCGCGCUCAACGUGGGAACUGCCUUGGAAACUGGCAAACUGGAGUGUGUGAGAGGUUAGUGGAAUUCCAGGUGUAGGAGUGAAAUCCGUAGAUAUCUGGAGGAACAUCAGUGGCGAAGGCGACUAUCUGGCACAUAACUGACGCUGAGGAGCGAAAGCGUGGGUAGCAAACAGGAUUAGAUACCCGGGUAGUC